RNAcentral lists this long non-coding RNA (2151 nucleotides) under Bos indicus x Bos taurus (hybrid cattle). RNAcentral describes it as "lncRNA (ENSBIXG00000005114.1)". The record is from RNAcentral. Lineage: Eukaryota; Metazoa; Chordata; Mammalia; Artiodactyla; Bovidae.
GGAGCGGGUUUGGGGUGGUUUUGGUUUUUCUGUUCUCUUUUCCUUUUUGCCCGCCUGGUGGCCAGGUGAGCCUUGAGGCCAGGCCGGCAGGGACUCAGCGUGCUAGUUGCCGCCCACCGUGUCUGCCCCCCGACGGCUUCCUCCUAGGCUGCAAGACUGCACCCAGAGUCCCCCUUGUCACUGCUGCACCCGAGAAGCCCUCUCAGGACCCCAGUCGCCCUGCCUUGGGAUGACUCGCCAGCUCCGCCCGUGCCCUCCACCUGUACGUCCCUUGGGCGCCUGUGAUGCCAGCCUGUUCCCCACUGGCCACCCUCCAGUCCCUGCUGAGUCACCAGGAUGUCCCGUCUCCCAGUUCCUCCCGUGCCCGUGGCUCUGGCCACAUCCUGAGCCUCCAUCUGCCCUCUGCCAGUGCUGCCUCCACUCCUUCUGGUCAGGCUGCGGAGUCCAGAGGGCUUCAGGGAGAGGUAUUCUGCAGCUCUGCGAUGGCCCCACAGGCAGGAGUGGGGAAGAGGUUUCAGGAACCUCCCACAGCCUUCACCCCCCCCCCCCCCACUGCAGAAACCCCCUGGGACAGCUGUCUUGCCUGUUCCUCCCCACCUGCAGAGCUUGGAGGACUCAGGCCAGCUGUGGGGGACCAGGGAGUCCUCCCAUCCAACUGGCUCAAUGUCUCAGAGAGGGAUGCUCGGGAAGAAAUAAAAUGGGGGGUGUCAGGCUGUCGGGGCUUCCCCAGACCAGUCAAGGGGGCGGUGCUGGCCUGGGUUCUGGCUCCAAAGCCUCCUGCAGAGUAGACACCGGAUGUGAGUUUGCUAAAUAAAGACCCGUUCCUGCCUGCCUUCCCAUGUGUGCUUGUUGCCCCUGAGCCCAGAGAGGGCCCUGCUGGAGGGACACUGAGACCUCAGUGCUCAGCUCAGCCGAAGCCCCAGAGCAGCAUCCUUACCCCACAGAGCGUCCACAUUCUCAUCUGUAAAAUGGGGGCGUGGUGUUGACCCGCCCAUACCCAGGGUCCUGGCAGGAUGGACUGAGGCCCCCCAUGGGGGUCUCUGUCCUGGGAUGGCAGUGACACUCUCCAGCCGCAUCAGUGUUUUAAGGAGCACAUGCUAAGGAUCACAGUCCUGGCCCCAGGCAGCCGCAAGCAUCCCAUACGGUGUUGAGGCCCUGGCUCUUGGCCCUGAAGCUCGACCGUUGGAGCCAGACAAGGACUGGUCUGCAGGACACUGCUGCUGCCCAGGCUGGUGGGUGAGCCUGGAGGUGGGGGGGUUAGAAGGUGCUAGGUGCUCAGAGGCCUCCCUCCCCUGGGCCACCCACAGGACCCUGCGGGAGCAGGGUGGCCGGCAUAUGCAGAGCCCAGUCCCAGAGGUGGCCUGCUGGCCAGGGCUGCUCAGGAGACAGUGAGCAGAAGGCCCGCACACCCAAGUGGGGGCUCCCCUCCCCCCACUCACUGUGGCCUUGCACAAGGCCCUCCACGGCCCUGAGUCUCAUGUUCCCGUGAGCAUCCAGGACUCCAGGAAGACCGGGACUCCAGGGUUAGGCGGGGGUGCUCAGACCCCAGCGUGAGGCCUGGCGCAGGGAAAGGACCUCUCUGCUGGGCACUCACGGGUGACUCCCCAAAUGCCCUUCUGCAGGCACUCUGCUUCCUGGAGGCCUCCUUAUAAAUACACCGUAUCCUGAGAGUACCCCAGGGACCCUGAGUCCCUUGGGCUGGGCCAGAGAAAGCUGGUUUGUUAUUUAAAAGAUGUUCCAAGUGAUUCUGAUGCUCAGUGACCUCGGAACCCCACUAAGCAACUCACCUGUGGGAAGCAGGUGUCCACUGCCACGGAUGGGGGGUGCUGGCCCCGCAAGGCCACACUCAGCUGUAGGGCCCUUUAAUCUUGGCAUUCAGUUGUCAAAACUCCACUGAGGACCCCAGAGCCCCUACCUAGGGAUCCAGAGGGUGCAGACUUCAGUGAGGUGACCAGACACAAGGUGCAGACCCAGGGGCUUCCAGCAGAGUCGGGAAGACACUGGAGGAGGGGAGCCCGGUCUCUCUCCCUGGCCCCUUGUAAGUGCACGCAGGACAAAUACAAAGAAAACACUGCACCCAAGGUGGUGAGAAUGUCACCUUUUUAUCAUGAGGAGAAUAAAUAUUGGAACAGUGUAAGCUCUUUGAAUAUC